GACGAACGCUGGCGGCGUGCUUAACACAUGCAAGUCGAACGGAAAGGCCCUGCUUUUGUGGGGUGCUCGAGUGGCGAACGGGUGAGUAACACGUGAGUAACCUGCCCUUGACUUUGGGAUAACUUCAGGAAACUGGGGCUAAUACCGGAUAGGAGCUCCUGCUGCAGGGUGGGGGUUGGAAAGUUUCGGCGGUUGGGGAUGGACUCGCGGCUUAUCAGCUUGUUGGUGGGGUAGUGGCUUACCAAGGCUUUGACGGGUAGCCGGCCUGAGAGGGUGACCGGCCACAUUGGGACUGAGGUACGGCCCAGACUCCUACGGGAGGCAGCAGUGGGGAAUAUUGCACAAUGGGAGGAAGCCUGAUGCAGCAACGCCGCGUGCGGGAUGACGGCCUUCGGGUUGUAAACCGCUUUAGCCUGUGACGAAGCGUGAGUGACGGUAAUGGGUAAAGAAGCACCGGCUAACUACGUG
This 468-nucleotide ribosomal RNA is filed under the name uncultured bacterium. Its description in RNAcentral is "partial 16S ribosomal RNA". It matches the Rfam family "Bacterial small subunit ribosomal RNA", at positions 28 to 507 of the family's 1533-position model. The record is from RNAcentral.